GACGAACGCUGGCGGCGUGCCUAAUACAUGCGAGUUGAGCGCUGAAGGUUGGUACUUGUACCAACUGUAUGAGCAGCGAACGGGUGAGUAACGCGUGGGUAAUCUGCCUUUGAGCGUGGGACAACAUUUGGAAACGAAUGCUAAUACCGCAUAAAAACUUUAAACACAAGUUUUAAGUUUGAAAGAUGCAAUUGCAUCACUCAAAGAUGAUCCCGCGUUGUAUUAGCUAGUUUGGGAGGUAAAGGCUCAACAAGGCGAUGAUACAUAGCCGACCGGAGAGGGUGAUAGGCCAACUCGGGAACGAGAACAGGCUCCAAAUCCCACGGGAGGCAGCAGUAGGGAAUCUUCGGCCAUGGACGAAAGUCUGAACGAGCCACGCCGCGGGAGUGAAGAAGGUUCUCGGAUCGUAAAACUCUGUUGGUAGAGAAGAACGUUGGUGAGAGUGGAAAGCUCAUAAAGUGACGGUAACUACCCAGAAAGGGACGGCUAACUACGUG
Molecule: ribosomal RNA, 497 nt
Filed under: uncultured bacterium
Lineage: Bacteria
Description: partial 16S ribosomal RNA
Rfam family: Bacterial small subunit ribosomal RNA
Source: RNAcentral